This 491-nucleotide ribosomal RNA is filed under the name uncultured bacterium. RNAcentral's name for it is "partial 16S ribosomal RNA". It matches the Rfam family "Bacterial small subunit ribosomal RNA", at positions 29 to 507 of the family's 1533-position model. The record is from RNAcentral.
GUGAACGCUGGCGGUGGGCCUAACACAUGCAAGUCGAACGGCAGCACAGUAAGAGCUUGCUCUUACGGGUGGCGAGUGGCGGACGGGUGAGGAAUACAUCGGAAUCUACUUUUUCGUGGGGGAUAACGUAGGGAAACUUACGCUAAUACCGCAUACGACCUACGGGUGAAAGCAGGGGAUCUUCGGACCUUGCGCGAUUGAAUGAGCCGAUGUCGGAUUAGCUAGUUGGCGGGGUAAAGGCCCACCAAGGCGACGAUCCGUAGCUGGUCUGAGAGGAUGAUCAGCCACACUGGAACUGAGACACGGUCCAGACUCCUACGGGAGGCAGCAGUGGGGAAUAUUGGACAAUGGGCGCAAGCCUGAUCCAGCCAUACCGCGUGGGUGAAGAAGGCCUUCGGGUUGUAAAGCCCUUUUGUUGGGAAAGAAAAGCAGCAGGUUAAUACCCCGCUGUUCUGACGGUACCCAAAGAAUAAGCACCGGCUAACCUCGUG